AGAGUUGAUCAUGGCUCAGGAUGAACGCUGGCGGCGUGCCUAACACAUGCAAGUCGAACGAAGCACUUAGACAGAUCCUCGGGUGAUGAUUGUGACUGAGUGGCGGACGGGUGAGUAACGCGUGGGUAACCUGCCCUGUACAGGGGGAUAACAGUUAGAAAUGACUGCUAAUACCGCAUAAGCACACGAUGGUAGCAUUACCAGGUGUGAAAAAACUCCGGUGGUACAGGAUGGGCCCGCGUCUGAUUAGCUUGUUGGCGGGGUAAGAGCCCACCAAGGCGACGAUCAGUAGCCGGUCUGAGAGGAUGAACGGCCACAUUGGAACUGAGACACGGUCCAAACUCCUACGGGAGGCAGCAGGUGGGGAAUAUUGCACAAUGGGGGGAACCCUGAUGCAAGCAACGCCGCGUGAGUGAAGAAGUAUUUCGGUAUGUAAAGCUCUAUCAGCAGGGAAGAUAAUGACGGUACCUGACUAAGAAGCUCCGGCUAAAUACGUGCCAGCCGCGGC
Molecule: ribosomal RNA, 508 nt
Filed under: uncultured bacterium
Lineage: Bacteria
Description: bacterial SSU rRNA
Rfam family: Bacterial small subunit ribosomal RNA
Source: RNAcentral